UCCCUGGUGGCUCAGAUGGUAAAGAAUCUGCCUGCAAGGCAGGAGACCUGGGUUCGAUCCCUGGGUUGGGAA
Molecule: transfer RNA, 72 nt
Filed under: Bos taurus (domestic cattle)
Lineage: Eukaryota; Metazoa; Chordata; Mammalia; Artiodactyla; Bovidae
Also listed under: 6 other names
Rfam family: tRNA
About the family: Transfer RNA (tRNA) molecules are approximately 80 nucleotides in length. Their secondary structure includes four short double-helical elements and three loops (D, anti-codon, and T loops).
Source: Rfam by way of RNAcentral